This 495-nucleotide ribosomal RNA is filed under the name uncultured bacterium. RNAcentral's name for it is "partial 16S ribosomal RNA". It matches the Rfam family "Bacterial small subunit ribosomal RNA", at positions 28 to 507 of the family's 1533-position model. The record is from RNAcentral.
GACGAACGCUGGCGGCGUGCCUAAUACAUGCAAGUCGAACGCUGAAGGAGGAGCUUGCUUCUCUGGAUGAGUUGCGAACGGGUGAGUAACGCGUAGGUAACCUGCCUGGUAGCGGGGGAUAACUAUUGGAAACGAUAGCUAAUACCGCAUAAUAGUAGAUGUUGCAUGACAUUUGCUUAAAAGGUGCAAUUGCAUCACUACCAGAUGGACCUGCGUUGUAUUAGCUAGUUGGUGAGGUAACGGCUCACCAAGGCAACGAUACAUAGCCGACCUGAGAGGGUGAUCGGCCACACUGGGACUGAGACACGGCCCAGACUCCUACGGGAGGCAGCAGUAGGGAAUCUUAGGCAAUGGAAGGAAGUCUGACCGAGCAACGCCGCGGGAGUGAAGAAGGUUUUCGGAUCGUAAAGCUCUGUUGUAAGAGAAGAACGAGUGUGAGAGUGGAAAGUUCACACUGUGACGGUAGCUUACCAGAAAGGGACGGCUAACUACGUG